UAUUAUUUAAAAUGUAAUAAAUAUGCCUAAGUAGUAAUAGUUAUGUUCUUGAAACUUAAAAAAUUUGGCGGUAUUUUAGUCUAUCCAGAGGAACCUGUUUUGUAAUCGAUAAUCCACGAUGGACCUUACUUAAAUUUGUUGUCAGUUUAUAUACCGUCGUUAUUAGAAUAUUUUAUAAGAAUAAGAAUAUUCAAUAAUUUUUAUUAAAAUUUAUAUCAGAUCAAGGUGUAGCUUAUAUUUAAGUAAUAAUGGGUUACAAUAAAUAUAUUUAAACGAAUAAAAUUAUGAAAAAAUUUUUGAAGGUGGAUUUGGUAGUAAAAUUAUAAAGAUUAUUAAUUUGAUUUUAGCUCUAAAAUAUGUACACAUCGCCCGUCGCUCUUAUUAUUAAGGUAAGAUAAGUCGUAACAUAGUAGAUGUACUGGAAAGUGUAUCUAGAAUGA
This 440-nucleotide ribosomal RNA is filed under the name Drosophila unipunctata. RNAcentral describes it as "partial 12S ribosomal RNA". Lineage: Eukaryota; Metazoa; Arthropoda; Insecta; Diptera; Drosophilidae. The record is from RNAcentral.